Molecule: ribosomal RNA, 497 nt
Filed under: uncultured bacterium
Lineage: Bacteria
Description: partial 16S ribosomal RNA
Rfam family: Bacterial small subunit ribosomal RNA
Source: RNAcentral
GAUGAACGCUGGCGGCGUGCCUAAUACAUGCAAGUCGAGCGAACGGACGAGAAGCUUGCUUCUCUGAUGUUAGCGGCGGACGGGUGAGUAACACGUGGAUAACCUACCUAUAAGACUGGGAUAACUUCGGGAAACCGGAGCUAAUACCGGAUGAUAUUUUGAACCGCAUGGUUCAAAAGUGAAAGACGGUCUUGCUGUCACUUAUAGAUGGAUCCGCGCUGCAUUAGCUAGUUGGUAAGGUAACGGCUUACCAAGGCAACGAUGCAUAGCCGACCUGAGAGGGUGAUCGGCCACACUGGAACUGAGACACGGUCCAGACUCCUACGGGAGGCAGCAGUAGGGAAUCUUCCGCAAUGGGCGAAAGCCUGGCGGAGCAACGCCGCGUGAGUGAUGAAGGUCUUCCGAUCGUAAAACUCUGUUAUUAGGGAAGAACAUAUGUGUAAGUAACUGUGCACAUCUUGACGGUACCUAAUCAGAAAGCCACGGCUAACUACGUG